Macaca mulatta (Rhesus monkey) is the source of this 899-nucleotide non-coding RNA. The record is from RefSeq and is a predicted model, not a curated record. Lineage: Eukaryota; Metazoa; Chordata; Mammalia; Primates; Cercopithecidae.
GAAGGUCUCUGGACCAGGCCUCCGUGAUAGGGCUGAUCUGGAGACCAAUGUGGAUGUUGUGAAAGCCUCUGAUCACAUAGGAGAGUAAGCUCCAGCCUCAGGAAGGAGGAUCCUAUCUAAAGCUCCACGCUCCUGGAGUUGAGAAAACAGACCUUGAGAAGGGAAAGGAGCCACGGUCACACAGCAAGCAAGGAGUGGUGCCGGGCCUCUGACCCUGGGCUCUACCCUCAAAGGUCAAAGAUGAAGGUGCCCACAAGCCCUUGCCAGUGUGUGUGGGAGUAUCCAGACCUCACCUGUUGUCCAGGAUGGGCCCUAUCUUCUGCAGAGACUUGGCCACAUUGAAGCGGACAUUGGCCACCGGGUCCCCAGCCAUACGCAGAACCGUGGGCAGCAUGUGCUUGGUGGUGAUGUCUUGCCCACAGACCUCAGACAGCACCUGGGGGCCAGUGAGUAACAGGGGUGAGUGCAAAGCUUCUGGCUAACUCUCAUCUCCCACUGCCUCUGACCAGGCCACUCUGGUGAUUAUCAGGCCCUACAGAGGCUGAGCAACACAGGGACUCAGUUCAGUGUUAUAGGAGUGGAUCUCCCAACUCCACUAACACCAUCCUAAUACCACGUCUCCAUUCUGUGAUGUCCCAGUUUCUCUGUCCUCAGGCUUCCUUUAAUUACUCUGGAGAUGGACCUUAAUUACCAAGCCCUAUGAUUCAUACUGGUAAUCACAGCCUGGUGAGUAUAAAGAUUAAUCAGGUUAUACAUGCACAGGGCUUAGAACAGUUAGGCUACAGAUAGGAAGUGCUCCUGUCUAUUUGCUUUUCCUACGAUUAUAAUUAUCUCAUGUACUGAUUUAUGUGUAAACCAUACAAAGAGCUAGAAAUGAAAGAAUGGGGUUUAAAAAUAAA